AUACGUAGGUGGCAAGCGUUAUCCGGAAUUAUUGGGCGUAAAGAGUGAGCAGGCGGUUAAUUAAGUCUGAGGUUAAAGCGUGGGGCUCAACCCCCUAAAGCCUUGGAAACUGUUUGACUAGCGUACGGGAGAAGUGAAGGGAACUCCAUGUGUAGCGGUGAAAUGCGUAGAUAUAUGGAAGAACACCAGUGGCGAAGGCGCUUCACUAGCCCGAAACUGACGCUCAGUCACGAAAGCGUGGGUAGCAAAUAGGAUUAGAUACCCUAGUAGUCCACGCUGUAAACGAUGACAACUAAAUAUUGCCGCGAGGCAGUGUUGAAGCUAACGCAUUAAGUUGUCCGCCUGGGGAGUACGGUCGCAAGACUGAAACUUAAAGGAAUUGACGGGG
RNAcentral lists this ribosomal RNA (388 nucleotides) under uncultured bacterium. Its description in RNAcentral is "partial 16S ribosomal RNA". It matches the Rfam family "Bacterial small subunit ribosomal RNA", at positions 523 to 918 of the family's 1533-position model. The record is from RNAcentral.